GUCUAUGGUCAUGCUACCCUGAACAAGCCAGAUCUCAUCUGAUCUUGGAAGCUAAGUAGGGUUGGGCCUGGUUAACACUUUGAUGAGAGACCACCUAGGAAGACCAGGUGCUGCAGGCG
Molecule: ribosomal RNA, 119 nt
Filed under: Pteropus alecto (black flying fox)
Lineage: Eukaryota; Metazoa; Chordata; Mammalia; Chiroptera; Pteropodidae
Source: RNAcentral